AACGAACGCUGGCGGCGUGCCUAACACAUGCAAGUCGCACGAGAAAGUUCUUCGGAACGAGUAAAGUGGCGCACGGGUGAGUAAUCCAUAGGAACGUGUCUUUAGGAGGGGAAUAACAACGGGAAACCGUUGCUAAUACCGCAUAAUCAGGUAACUGCAAAGACGGCCUCUAUUUAUAAGCUGUCACCUAAAGAGCGGCCUAUGUCCCAUUAGCUAGUUGGUGGGGUAAAAGCCUACCAAGGCAACGAUGGGUAGCUGGUCUGAGAGGACGAUCAGCCACACUGGAACUGAGACACGGUCCAGACUCCUACGGGAGGCAGCAGUGGGGAUAUUGCACAAUGGGCGCAAGCCUGAUGCAGCAACGCCGCGUGAGUGAAGAAGGCCUCGGUUGUAA
Molecule: ribosomal RNA, 394 nt
Filed under: uncultured bacterium
Lineage: Bacteria
Description: bacterial SSU rRNA
Rfam family: Bacterial small subunit ribosomal RNA
Source: RNAcentral